Molecule: ribosomal RNA, 64 nt
Filed under: Lodderomyces elongisporus
Lineage: Eukaryota; Fungi; Ascomycota; Pichiomycetes; Serinales; Debaryomycetaceae
Description: partial 26S ribosomal RNA
Rfam family: Eukaryotic large subunit ribosomal RNA
Source: RNAcentral
UUCGACCUCAAAUCAGGUAGGAUUACCCGCUGAACUUAAGCAUAUCAAUAAGCGGAGGAAAAGA